AGAGUUUGAUCCUGGCUCAGAUUGAACGCUGGCGGCAGGCCUAACACAUGCAAGUCGAGCGGAUGAGUGGAGCUUGCUCCAUGAUUCAGCGGCGGACGGGUGAGUAAUGCCUAGGAAUCUGCCUGGUAGUGGGGGACAACGUUUCGAAAGGAACGCUAAUACCGCAUACGUCCUACGGGAGAAAGCAGGGGACCUUCGGGCCUUGCGCUAUCAGAUGAGCCUAGGUCGGAUUAGCUAGUAGGUGAGGUAAUGGCUCACCUAGGCGACGAUCCGUAACUGGUCUGAGAGGAUGAUCAGUCACACUGGAACUGAGACACGGUCCAGACUCCUACGGGAGGCAGCAGUAGGGAAUAUUGGACAAUGG
This 364-nucleotide ribosomal RNA is filed under the name uncultured bacterium. RNAcentral's name for it is "bacterial SSU rRNA". It matches the Rfam family "Bacterial small subunit ribosomal RNA", at positions 8 to 374 of the family's 1533-position model. The record is from RNAcentral.